AUGGAGAAUGACGACUUGGCCCUGCAGCCGAUGCCAACCAUCAACUUCUUCCCAGUAGCAAGAAGUCAAGCCCUUUUGUGGUACGAUCUAUCCCGAAGGAGGUCGUCCCCCGAGCCCGCAUCCCUGUCGUCGACCUUGCGCACAGGGAAGGUCGCAAUCUGCGUCAUCGAGGCCGGUGGGUUCAUCUGCUUCCACCUCUACGAGAAGCUCAUGGCCGAGAACCCGCACACGGUCCUCGCCGUUGACGUUUACUGCGACAAGAUCCGCCAUCUCGUGGACCCACCUUUCUAUGGCGUUUGUCCAGACCAUCUACGACUACGAGAGUGCUCUCAGGUGCAAUGA
This 342-nucleotide ribosomal RNA is filed under the name Triticum aestivum (bread wheat). RNAcentral describes it as "partial small subunit ribosomal RNA". The record is from RNAcentral. Lineage: Eukaryota; Viridiplantae; Streptophyta; Magnoliopsida; Poales; Poaceae.